RNAcentral lists this unclassified non-coding RNA (177 nucleotides) under fungal sp. RNAcentral describes it as "partial internal transcribed spacer region". The stretch from base 1 to 46 matches the Rfam family "Eukaryotic small subunit ribosomal RNA", at positions 1786 to 1831 of the family's 1831-position model. RNAcentral also lists the same sequence under 1 other name. Lineage: Eukaryota; Fungi. The record is from RNAcentral.
AAGUCGUAACAAGGUUUCCGUAGGUGAACCUGCGGAAGGAUCAUUAAAAAAUAGUCCCUAUUAAUAUGUGAAUUAAGCCAAUGAUUUGUUGGGUAUCGACCAACGUUAAACUAUUAUUUAAAUUUAUGACAGGAAGAUUAAUAGAUAAAACUUUUAGCAACGGAUCUCUAGGUUCUC